GGGCCAGGGGGGGGUGCUAUACAUGCAAGUCGAACGCUUUGUGGUUCAACUGAUUUGAAGAGCUUGCUCAGAUAUGACGAUGGACAUUGCAAAGAGUGGCGAACGGGUGAGUAACACGUGGGAAACCUACCUCUUAGCAGGGGAUAACAUUUGGAAACAGAUGCUAAUACCGUAUAACAAUGACAACCGCAUGGUUGUUAUUUAAAAGAUGGUUCUGCUAUCACUAAGAGAUGGUCCCGCGGUGCAUUAGCUAGUUGGUAAGGUAAUGGCUUACCAAGGCGAUGAUGCAUAGCCGAGUUGAGAGACUGAUCGGCCACAAUGGGACUGAGACACGGCCCAUACUCCUACGGGAGGCAGCAGUAGGGAAUCUUCCACAAUGGGCGAAAGCCUGAUGGAGCAACGCCGCGUGUGUGAUGAAGGGUUUCGGCUCGUAAAACACUGUUGUAAGAGAAGAAUGACAUUGAGAGUAACUGUUCAAUGUGUGACGGUAUCUUACCAGAAAGGAACGGCUAAAUACGUGCCAGCAGCCGCGGUAAUACGUAUGUUCCAAGCGUUAUCCGGAUUUAUUGGGCGUAAAGCGAGCGCAGACGGUUAUUUAAGUCUGAAGUGAAAGCCCUCAGCUCAACUGAGGAAUUGCUUUGGAAACUGGAUGACUUGAGUGCAGUAGAGGAAAGUGGAACUCCAUGUGUAGCGGUGAAAUGCGUAGAUAUAUGGAAGAACACCAGUGGCGAAGGCGGCUUUCUGGACUGUAACUGACGUUGAGGCUCGAAAGUGUGGGUAGCAAACAGGAUUAGAUACCCUGGUAGUCCACACCGUAAACGAUGAGUGCUAGGUGUUUGAGGGUUUCCGCCCUUAAGUGCCGCAGCUAACGCAUUAAGCACUCCGCCUGGGGAGUACGACCGCAAGGUUGAAACUCAAAGGAAUUGACGGGGACCCGCACAAGCGGUGGAGCAUGUGGUUUAAUUCGAAGCAACGCGAAGAACCUUACCAGGUCUUGACAUCCCUUGACAACUCCAGAGAUGGAGCGUUCCCUUCGGGGACAAGGUGACAGGUGGUGCAUGGUUGUCGUCAGCUCGUGUCGUGAGAUGUUGGGUUAAGUCCCGCAACGAGCGCAACCCUUAUUACUAGUUGCCAGCAUUCAGUUGGGCACUCUAGUGAGACUGCCGGUGACAAACCGGAGGAAGGUGGGGAUGACGUCAAAUCAUCAUGCCCCUUAUGACCUGGGCUACACACGUGCUACAAUGGCGUAUACAACGAGUUGCCAACCCGCGAGGGUGAGCUAAUCUCUUAAAGUACGUCUCAGUUCGGAUUGUAGGCUGCAACUCGCCUACAUGAAGUCGGAAUCGCUAGUAAUCGCGGAUCAGCACGCCGCGGUGAAUACGUUCCCGGGUCUUGUACACACCGCCCGUCACACCAUGAGAGUUUGUAACACCCAAAGCCGGUGGGGUAACCUUCGGGAGCCAGCCGUCUAAGGUGGAACAGUUGGG
RNAcentral lists this ribosomal RNA (1487 nucleotides) under Weissella confusa. RNAcentral's name for it is "bacterial SSU rRNA". It matches the Rfam family "Bacterial small subunit ribosomal RNA". Lineage: Bacteria; Bacillati; Bacillota; Bacilli; Lactobacillales; Lactobacillaceae. The record is from RNAcentral.